AUUUGUAUUUACUGAUACCAGAUAGUGCUGUAGUGAAUGCAACAGAAGCAAUGCGGUAUUAAACAAAUUCUCCUCUACCAAUAACAAAAGUACAUUUUCAAAAUACUGGAUUAAUUGUUUUUUUUUAAAAUGAAGUACAACAGUCAUAAUUCAACCAAUUUCAGUGAUUCUGAAAACCCUAGCGAAGAUGAUAUCAUAUUGGAGGUUUCAACUUUCAUGACUUCUUUAAUAUUCACUGGAUUAGUAGGGAAUGUGAUUACAUUUUCGGCAGUGUGCUGUUACAAGCGAUUUCACUCACCAACAUACACGACCAUAGGCUGUCUGGCUAUCGCCGACUUUUUUACCCUGUUAACAAUGGUAGUUUUUCCCUGGAUCCUUACGGUAGGAUAUCAAUUGAAAUUUAACUGCUCCGAAAUUCCGAUGUUUUCUGAAUAUUUUGGGAUUUGCAUCGUACUUUAGUUCGCUGGGACACAUCCUUCUGCUGACCUCUCUCAGAUUUGUUUUAACAGUGCAUCCUUUCCAAAGUCGACAUUAUUUUUCUUCCAAGAUUAUUGUUGGCUGUUCACUGUCGUGCUGGGUAAUGAGUGUGUGUUUGGCGACAUCUUUAGCCUUUAUAUUCAGGGAAAUGGAGAAAAUUUUACGUAUCAACAUUCGAGUUUUUGUCGCUGUGACGUAUGCAUUAGGAAUGAUGAUUCCCUUGGUUGUAAUUGGAAAACUGCAUUAUUUAAAGAUCAAUAUCCACUGCUGAAGUGAAUGCAACAGACGGAAUGCAGCUUUAAACAGUUUCUGUUCUACGAAUAAUAGAAGUACAUUUUUAACAUGCGGAAUUAAUUGUGUUUUAAGAUGAAGUACAACAGUCAUAAUUCAACCAAUUUCAGUUAUUCUGAAAACCCUAGUGAAGAUGGUGCUACCAGUGAUAUAUCUGCAGUGUUUCUUUUCAUGAUUUCUUUGCUUUUCCUGGGAUUAGUAGGAAAUAUGAUUACGAUUUUGGCAAUGUGCUGUUGCAAACGACUUCACUCACCAACAUACACGGCCAUAGGCUGUCUGGCUAUCGCCGACUUUUUUACCCUGUUAACAAUGGUAGCUCUUCGUUUGAUCGUUAAUGAUUAUCAAGUGGAAUUGGAUUGCUCCGAAUGUUUGAGAUGUUUUAUGAAUAUUUUGGGAUUUGCAUCGUACUUUAGUUCGCUGGGACACAUCCUUCUUCUGACCUCUCUCAGAUUUGUUUUAACUGUGCAUCCUCUCCAAAGUAGACAUUACUUUUCUUCCAAGAUUAUUGUUGGCUGUUCACUGUCGUGCUGGGUAGUGAGUGUGUGUUUAGCGACAUCUUCAGCCUUUAUAUUCAAGGAAAUGGAGAAACAUUUACCCAUCAAAGCACAAGUUUUUGUCACCGUGACGUAUGCAUUAGGAAUGACGAUUCCCUUGGUUGUAAUUGGAAAGCUGCAUUGUUUAAAAAUAAAAGCACUGUCAUCAUCCACACUUGUACCACACAGCAAACACGUGCAGAAAAUGAAUCGUAUCCUGGCAGUCAUUCUUACAGUCUUUGUAUUUUAUGGAGUCAUGUUAAUUAUCAAUUCUAUUGUUUUCAGUUUAGAACAACUGACAUAUUUCAAAGGUAACCAUUCAAAUGUUAUUCACAUCAUCACCUUAUUUGCAAAAACACUGAAUUUUACCUGUAAUCCUAUUGUCUAUUUUGCGUUUUCUAUACGCUGCAGCAAAUGUUCCAAAAACUAAACAGAUUCAAUAUAAUGCUUCACCUGUUUUAGUUCUCUUAUAGCAUUAUCAUAGUCGUAAGUUUCAUUAACAUGUACAAAGUAUUCAAGAAGAAAUUUGUAAACAAUAAUCAGUGAAGUAGCUUUGUGUGAUUCUGACCAAAAACACGAGUACUGUGUAGUUUACGUAUAUAAAUAUAUAAAUUAUUUUACAUGGUUUAAUGCCAGAUUAUUUAAAUGUUUUUAAAUAUGUAUCAGAAGUCAGUCAGAGGCAAACUAGAAAUUCUUAUUCAAAUAUAUUGUAUAUACCCAGGGCAAAAACAGAAUAUUAUAGAAGAUCUUUCAGCAUUUCAGGGAGCACAGUGUGGAAUGCCUUGAGUCAAAAUAUAAGAAACUCAACGAGUGUUGCGUGUUUUAAGAGAAAUUAUCUUAGAGAUUAUCACCAUACUUUUUAAGCUUCAUUUUGUAUUCUAUUUAUCUUGCAUUCAUAAUUAUUUCUUAAGUUUAUAUGUAUUCUACUUCUUUUAAUCUGUGUUUAUUUUACUAAUAUCUGUCUGUAUGUAUGUUAUAUGCAGGACCAUAUUGAAAACUAGCGUUAUCGCUAAAUAUGUAAUCCUGGAUAAAUAAAGGCUUUAUUAUUAUAUUAU
Molecule: long non-coding RNA, 2356 nt
Organism: Ostrea edulis (European flat oyster)
Lineage: Eukaryota; Metazoa; Mollusca; Bivalvia; Ostreida; Ostreidae
Exons: 2
Source: RefSeq, a predicted model, not a curated record